RNAcentral lists this ribosomal RNA (253 nucleotides) under uncultured bacterium. Its description in RNAcentral is "partial 16S ribosomal RNA". It matches the Rfam family "Bacterial small subunit ribosomal RNA", at positions 524 to 776 of the family's 1533-position model. The record is from RNAcentral.
UACAGAGGGUGCGAGCGUUAAUCGGAAUUACUGGGCGUAAAGUGUGCGCAGGUGGCUUCGCAAGUCGAGUGUGAAAUCCCCGGGCUUAACCUGGGAAUUGCGCUCGAAACUACGGAGCUGGAGUAUGGCAGAGGGAGGUGGAAUUCCACGUGUAGCGGUGAAAUGCGUAGAGAUGUGGAGGAACACCAAUGGCGAAGGCAGCCUCCUGGGCCAAUACUGACACUCAUGCACGAAAGCGUGGGGAGCAAACAGG